UACGGAGGGGGCUAGCGUUGUUCGGAAUUACUGGGCGUAAAGCGCACGUAGGCGGCUUUGUAAGUCAGAGGUGAAAGCCCGGAGCUCAACUCCGGAAUUGCCUUUGAGACUGCAUCGCUUGAAUCCAGGAGAGGUGAGUGGAAUUCCGAGUGUAGAGGUGAAAUUCGUAGAUAUUCGGAAGAGCACCAGUGGCGAAGGCGGCUCACUGGACUGGUAUUGACGCUGAGGUGCGAAAGCGUGGGGAGCAAACAGG
Molecule: ribosomal RNA, 253 nt
Filed under: uncultured bacterium
Lineage: Bacteria
Description: partial 16S ribosomal RNA
Rfam family: Bacterial small subunit ribosomal RNA
Source: RNAcentral